This 1393-nucleotide ribosomal RNA is filed under the name uncultured bacterium. Its description in RNAcentral is "bacterial SSU rRNA". It matches the Rfam family "Bacterial small subunit ribosomal RNA". The record is from RNAcentral.
AGAGUUUGAUCCUGGCUCAGGAUGAACGCUGGCGGCGUGCUUAACACAUGCAAGUCGAACGGGGAACAUUUUAUGGAAACUUCGGUGGAAAUAGCUUGUUCCUAGUGGCGGACGGGUGAGUAACGCGUGGGUAACCUGCCUCACACUGGUGGGAUAACAGUCAGAAAUGACUGCUAAUACCGCAUAAGCGCACGGGAUUGCAUGAUCCAGUGUGAAAAACUCCGGUGGUGUAAGAUGGACCCGCGUUGGAUUAGCUAGUUGGCAGGGUAACGGCCUACCAAGGCGACGAUCCAUAGCCGGCCUGAGAGGGUGGACGGCCACAUUGGGACUGAGACACGGCCCAGACUCCUACGGGAGGCAGCAGUGGGGAAUAUUGCACAAUGGGGGAAACCCUGAUGCAGCGACGCCGCGUGAAGGAAGAAGUAUCUCGGAUUGUAAACUUCUAUCAGCAGGGAAGAAAAUGACGGUACCUGACUAAUAAGCCCCGGCUAACUACGUGCCAGCACCCGCGGUAAUACGUAGGGGGCAAGCGUUAUCCGGAUUUACUGGGUGUAAAGGGAGCGUAGACGGAAUGGCAAGUCUGAUGUGAAAGGCCGGGGCUCAACCCCGGGACUGCAUUGGAAACUGUCAAUCUAGAGUACCGGAGGGGUAAGUGGAAUUCCUAGUGUAGCGGUGAAAUGCGUAGAUAUUAGGAGGAACACCAGUGGCGAAGGCGGCUUACUGGACGGUAACUGACGUUGAGGCUCGAAAGCGUGGGGAGCAAACAGGGAUUAGAUACCCUGGUAGUCCACGCCGUAAACGAUGAUUACUAGGUGUUGGAGGAUUGACCCCUUCAGUGCCGCAGUUAACACAAUAAGUAAUCCACCUGGGGAGUACGACCGCAAGGUUGAAACUCAAAGGAAUUGACGGGGGCCCGCACAAGCAGUGGAGUAUGUGGUUUAAUUCGACGCAACGCGAAGAACCUUACCAAGUCUUGACAUCGAUCUGACCGGACUGUAAUGAGUCCUUUCCCUUCGGGGACAGAGAAGACAGGUGGUGCAUGGUUGUCGUCAGCUCGUGUCGUGAGAUGUUGGGUUAAGUCCCGCAACGAGCGCAACCCCUAUCCCCAGUAGCCAGCGGUUCGGCCGGGCACUCUGAGGAGACUGCCAGGGAUAACCUGGAGGAAGGCGGGGAUGACGUCAAAUCAUCAUGCCCCUUAUGAUUUGGGCUACACACGUGCUACAAUGGCGUAAACAAAGGGAAGCAAGCCUGCGAAGGUAAGCAAAUCCCAAAAAUAACGUCCCAGUUCGGACUGCAGUCUGCAACUCGACUGCACGAAGCUGGAAUCGCUAGUAAUCGCGGAUCAGAAUGCCGCGGUGAAUACGUUCCCGGGUCUUGCACACACCGCCCGUCA